RNAcentral lists this ribosomal RNA (253 nucleotides) under uncultured bacterium. RNAcentral's name for it is "partial 16S ribosomal RNA". It matches the Rfam family "Bacterial small subunit ribosomal RNA", at positions 524 to 776 of the family's 1533-position model. The record is from RNAcentral.
UACAGAGGUCUCAAGCGUUGUUCGGAUUCAUUGGGCGUAAAGGGUGCGUAGGUGGUGCUGUAAGUCAGGUGUGAAAUCUCGGAGCUUAACUCCGAAACUGCAUUCGAUACUGCCGUGCUUGAGGACUGGAGAGGAGACUGGAAUUUACGGUGUAGCGGUGAAAUGCGUAGAUAUCGUAAGGAAGACCAGUGGCGAAGGCGGGUCUCUGGACAGUUCCUGACGCUGAGGCACGAAGGUCAGGGGAGCAAACGGG